This 292-nucleotide ribosomal RNA is filed under the name uncultured bacterium. Its description in RNAcentral is "partial 16S ribosomal RNA". It matches the Rfam family "Bacterial small subunit ribosomal RNA", at positions 505 to 796 of the family's 1533-position model. The record is from RNAcentral.
GUGCCAGCAGCCGCGGUAAUACGAAGGUCCCGAGCGUUAUCCGGAUUUAUUGGGUUUAAAGGGUGCGUAGGCGGGUUAUUAAGUCAGUGGUGAAAGCCUUCAGCUCAACUGAAGAACUGCCAUUGAUACUGAUGAUCUUGAGUACGAUUGAGGUAGGCGGAAUGUGUCAUGUAGCGGUGAAAUGCUUAGAUAUGACACAGAACACCGAUUGCGAAGGCAGCUUACUAAGUCGUAACUGACGCUGAUGCACGAAAGCGUGGGGAGCAAACAGGAUUAGAUACCCUUGUAGUCC